GUGAGGAAUAUUGGUCAAUGGGCGGGAGCCUGAACCAGCCAAGUCGCGUGAAGGAAGAAGGAUCUAUGGUUCGUAAACUUCUUUUGCAGGGGAAUAAAGUGCAGGACGUGUCAUGUUUUGUAUGUACCCUGAGAAUAAGGAUCGGCUAACUCCGUGCCAGCAGCCGCGGUAAUACGGAGGAUCCGAGCGUUAUCCGGAUUUAUUGGGUUUAAAGGGUGCGUAGGUGGUGUGAUAAGUCAGCGGUGAAAGUUUGCAGCUUAACUGUAAAAAUGCCGUUGAAACUGUCGGACUUGAGUGUAAAUGAGGUAGGCGGAAUGCGUGGUGUAGCGGUGAAAUGCAUAGAUAUCACGCAGAACUCCGAUUGCGAAGGCAGCUUACUAAGCUACAACUGACACUGAAGCACGAAAGCGUGGGGAUCAAACAGGAUUAGAAACCCUGGUAGUCC
This 445-nucleotide ribosomal RNA is filed under the name uncultured bacterium. Its description in RNAcentral is "partial 16S ribosomal RNA". It matches the Rfam family "Bacterial small subunit ribosomal RNA", at positions 354 to 796 of the family's 1533-position model. The record is from RNAcentral.